This is a transfer RNA of 81 nucleotides. It matches the Rfam family "tRNA". From Rfam's summary of the family: Transfer RNA (tRNA) molecules are approximately 80 nucleotides in length. Their secondary structure includes four short double-helical elements and three loops (D, anti-codon, and T loops).
UCUCUGUUAGUAUAUCGGUUAGUACACGCGCCUGUCAUUCUUCGGUCGCGCGAAAGCGGGGUUCGACUCCCCGACAGAGAG